CAUUACCGAAUCGUCACACGAGUUGUUGCUGGUCUUCGAACGAGGGCACGUGCACGCUCUGUUUACACAUCCACUCACACCUGUGCACCCUCUGUAGUUCUAUGGUGUGGGAGACCACCCCGUCUUCCUGCCGUGGUUCUACRUCRUCACACACACACUGUAAUAGUCUCAUGGAAUGCAUGCCGCGUUUGACGCAACAAAAUACAACUUUCAGCAACGGAUCUCUUGGCUCUCGCAUCGAUGAAGAACGCAKCGAAAUGCGAUAAGUAAUGUGAAUUGCAGAAUUCAGUGAAUCAUCGAAUCUUUGAACGCACCUUGCGCCCUUUGGCUAUUCCGAAGGGCAUGCCUGUUUGAGUGUCAUGAACAUCUCAACUCUCAUGGGUUGCCAUGAUGAGCUUGGACUUUGGAGGUUUUUGCUGGCUUACGGUCGGCUCCUCUCAAACGAAUCAKCUUGCCAGCGUUUGGUGGCAUCACGGGCGUGAUAACUAUCUGCGCUUGUGGUUAUCCACCAGGUGUAACCUUCARUGAUGGAGGUUCGCUGGAGCUUCAUAGACGUCCCUCCUCGGUGAGGACGGCUUUCUGAACGUUCGAUCUCAAAUCAGGUAGGAUUACCCGCUGAACUUAA
This 625-nucleotide ribosomal RNA is filed under the name uncultured Thelephoraceae. RNAcentral's name for it is "eukaryotic LSU rRNA". The stretch from base 206 to 360 matches the Rfam family "5.8S ribosomal RNA". Lineage: Eukaryota; Fungi; Basidiomycota; Agaricomycetes; Thelephorales; Thelephoraceae. The record is from RNAcentral.